RNAcentral lists this ribosomal RNA (127 nucleotides) under Limosilactobacillus reuteri. Its description in RNAcentral is "partial 23S ribosomal RNA". It matches the Rfam family "Bacterial large subunit ribosomal RNA", at positions 2802 to 2925 of the family's 2925-position model. Lineage: Bacteria; Bacillati; Bacillota; Bacilli; Lactobacillales; Lactobacillaceae. The record is from RNAcentral.
AGAUGAGAUUUCCCAUUUCCUUCGGGAAAGUAAGACCCCUCAGAGAUGAUGAGGUAGAUAGGAUGGAAGUGGAAGUGCCGUGAGGCAUGGAGCGGACCAUUACUAAUCGGUCGAGGACUUAACCAAG